UACAGAGGUACCGAGCGUUGUUCGGAUUCACUGGGCGUAAAGGGUGCGUAGGUGGCAUGGUAAGUUUGAUGUGAAAGCUCAGGGCUUAACCCUGAAAUGGCAUUGAAUACUACUGUGCUGGAGGUUUGGAGGGGGGACUGGAAUUCUUGGUGUAGCAGUGAAAUGCGUAGAUAUCAAGAGGAACACCAGUGGCGAAGGCGAGUCCCUGGACAACACCUGACACUGAGGCACGAAAGCUAGGGGAGCAAACAGG
RNAcentral lists this ribosomal RNA (253 nucleotides) under uncultured bacterium. RNAcentral describes it as "partial 16S ribosomal RNA". It matches the Rfam family "Bacterial small subunit ribosomal RNA", at positions 524 to 776 of the family's 1533-position model. The record is from RNAcentral.